AGUACAGGAUGGACCCGCGUCUGAUUAGCUAGUUGGUAAGGUAACGGCUUACCAAGGCGACGAUCAGUAGCCGACCUGAGAGGGUGAUCGGCCACAUUGGAACUGAGACACGGUCCAAACUCCUACGGGAGGCCGCAGUGGGGAAUAUUGCACAAUGGGCGAAAGCCUGAUGCAGCAACGCCGCGUGAGUGAUGAAGGCCUUCGGGUCGUAAAACUCUGUCCUCAAGGAAGAUAAUGACGG
RNAcentral lists this ribosomal RNA (241 nucleotides) under Clostridioides difficile. RNAcentral's name for it is "partial 16S ribosomal RNA". It matches the Rfam family "Bacterial small subunit ribosomal RNA", at positions 217 to 457 of the family's 1533-position model. The record is from RNAcentral. Lineage: Bacteria; Bacillati; Bacillota; Clostridia; Peptostreptococcales; Peptostreptococcaceae.